RNAcentral lists this ribosomal RNA (300 nucleotides) under uncultured cyanobacterium. RNAcentral's name for it is "bacterial SSU rRNA". It matches the Rfam family "Bacterial small subunit ribosomal RNA", at positions 28 to 351 of the family's 1533-position model. The record is from RNAcentral. Lineage: Bacteria; Bacillati; Cyanobacteriota.
GAUGAACGCUGGCGGCACGUCUGACACAUGCAAGUCGAACGGUAGGGAGCAAUCCCGAGAGUGGCGAACGGCUGAGUAACACGUAGGAACCUACCCCCUGGUUCGGGACAACGGUCCGAAAGGACCGCUAAUACCGGAUAAUACCGAAAGGUUGAAAGGUUUACUGCCUGGGGAGGGGCCUGCGGCGUAUUAGCUUGAUGGUAGGGUAACGGCCUACCAUGGCGAUGAUGCGUAGCUGGUCUGAGAGGAUGAUCAGCCAGACUGGGACUGAGACACGGCCCAGACACCUACGGGAGGCUG